This 365-nucleotide transfer RNA is filed under the name uncultured Microcystis sp. Its description in RNAcentral is "partial 16S-23S ribosomal RNA intergenic spacer". The stretch from base 136 to 209 matches the Rfam family "tRNA". Lineage: Bacteria; Bacillati; Cyanobacteriota; Cyanophyceae; Chroococcales; Microcystaceae. The record is from RNAcentral.
AAAGGGAGACCUAAUUCAGGUAGGAGACGAAAAAAAAAUAGUCGCUACCAAGAAUCAAUCCCAAAAGGUCGGAGCGAGGCGAAAUUGGCUUUCAAACUAGGUUCUGGGUUCAAACAAGACCUGAAUCAGGAACAAGGGCUAUUAGCUCAGGUGGUUAGAGCGCACCCCUGAUAAGGGUGAGGUCCCUGGUUCGAGUCCAGGAUGGCCCACCUGUACAGGUGGCAAAAAGAAAGAAAAGAAGCGAGGAAUCAGCACCUUAUCUUACUGACAUAGUAAGAGAGAAUGCUGGCUCUGAGUAAAGAGUCCAGAGGAACCUUGAAAACUGCAUAGAGCUAGGUGAAAAAGCCAAAAAAGAAGACCGCAAG